UUUGUCUCAGGACUGCGGGCUCCCGCUAGUCCCUCCCCACUUCCCACACCCUGGUUUCCAGGGACCAGGCCUCCCACCUGCCCUGGAAAGUGAGCAGAGGAGGAAGGAGGACCCCGCUUUGUUUAAGGCUUGGGGACAGGAGGGGGGUGCGGCUUACCAACCUCCUUCUCCAACACAGACAAACAUCCUAGUGGAGUUCCUGUCCGUGGUUAAGUCAGCAGAUGUUUAUUCAAGUGCAGAGUGAUUAAAGUUCCAGACAGAGAAUGUUCAAGAAAUGUUUGUUGAAUGACUAAAGCUCUAUUGCUUUGACUUUGACCUCAGGAAAGUAUUUCAUUAAACCUUUUUUUAGUAAAGUAAAACGAGAAUUUAUAAUGGAAGAAAUAGUUUUUCAGGAACUAACCAUAUCUCCACUUGCUUUAUAGUAUAAUACCUCUCUGGGAGUAAGCAAAUUAAGAGCAAGAUGAUUACAAGUGCUCAUGGGAUUGGGACAUAGGGACCAAAUUGUCCAUAGAGCAGGAUUUCAUCUGGACCACAAUGACCUAUCCCUGACUGACCUCUGAGGAAACAGCUAUAACUUAAGACAUGAAGAAUACAGUUUCCAGAUGUAUAUAACAGGAACUACAAAGGACUAUAGGAAUCUUGAGAAAAAAGUGCGCCAUGAAGAAAGUGAUAUUGCAGUGCAAAUGCAGUAAACUCUCUUGGGACACAGAAAAACUUGCAUUCUGAAGUGGAGCCAUGAGAAAUAUUUUUGACAUAUUCCAAGUUUUUAUUAAUCAAUUCCAGAACAGAAGGAUCAAUAAGGAACACUGUCUCCAAUCUCCAGCUGAUGUUUCCCACUGGCUGAACCCAACUGGAAACCAAAGGGCAAAGGAGCUCAGCUAAUGCAGUCCAUGGAAGUCAGCCUCCCAAGUCACAGAGUAUGAUGAAGAAAGGUCUGGAGAGGCAAACACAGAAUAUCCUACAUACUGGGCUAUGAAGUUUAUAUCUUAUUCCACAGGUAUGCUAUGUGGAGAACUUGGUUAUAUUGGUACUUCAGAAGGAAAAAUAACUAACAAUAGCAGGUUAAACAAAACUAGACACACUAGGGACAGAAGAGUUCUUAAGUACUGAAGUGUUCAAAAUGGAGACUGAUGACAUGUGCUUUGAAAAAGGAAAUAUUAUACUAUUAUUUGCUUAUAUAUCUUCUGUUUGUGUCUUAAUCUCUCUUAACCUCAAAGCCCCCCAAUUUGUGAGUUCCUGGAAAGCAAUGAUUGAACUUCAUUCACCAUUUUGUUUCACAGCCUAAUAUUGUGUUUGGUGUAUUGUAAGUUUUCAACAAAUACUCAACAAAUGAAUGGCUGGUCUAAAAUGGCCAUACAGUUAAAGUCAAUAGGUUAAAAAAGGAAAAAAGACUAUAGUUAUUCCAAAACAUUGCCUGGGAGAUACUUGGAAUGAAAAUUUAAGGGAAAUAAAUAAGUCAGUGGACAGGCAGAGUAAGAUGCUGGUAGAAAUAAUCUGGUGGCUACAGACUCCACUGAUAACUGAGUCAAGCUAAAAUACGCCAUGAAAGAAAAAGCACUGUAGAAAUGGAAGUAAAGAUCUAAGAAAAAAUUCUGGUACUUUUUACAGGCAGUAUCCCUCAGUUUCUUACAGGAACUAAAACUCUAAAUUCUUAACUCAUAUUAUCUUUAAACAUACCCCUGUAAAAUGACAUGGUAGUACUUAUUUUUUUAAAAAUUUUAAAGUCUUCAAUAACUGAUUUUUUCAAUUUUUUAUAAAUUAGCAAACCUAAGAAUCAGAAACACUAGCCAUAAUACCCUCCAGGUAGCCUUCGCCUUCUGCCUCUCAGCACCUUUCCCUCUAGUAGAAACAUCACUCUUUUAUUUAGUCCUAAGCCACUGAACUCAUAAAUAUGAUCGUCAAUGGUGAGGAAGCUGCGUCUAUUAAAGAGUUUAUUACAGCUAUUUGGCCUGAAAACUACAGUCUAAAGUCUGAGAAUAAAUGGAAAAAUUUCAAAAAUCUUUUCAUUCUAAUGCAAGAAAUUCUUUCACCUUUUUCCUCAGUAAAGGCAAAAAUAGUAGAGGGUAGGAGAAGAGGGACACUAGUAUUUAUCAAAGCUUGCCAUAUUAGACCAGACUGCCAAAUGUAAUAUUCAUCCUCCAGCAAUGACCUUUUUCCUUUAGAGUAAAAUGGAGUGAGCCCCCCCAUAGUCAAAGAUCAAGGAAAAUUACUAAGUGACUGAUUAAAAAAUUUCAAAAACUUUUGUUUCACAUGACCUAAAUGAAUAAAAGAUUAAUUUCCAGUUCUCAUGAUGGUGUAAAAAAUUGUUCACUGUAAAUAAUUACUGUCAAAUUUGAAAUACAAACUCAUCUUUCAAGUCAUUCCUCCUUCCAAUCCAAAACACAGAUUACUAAAUAUAAUGCAACGCUAUCCUAGCAUACAACCCUAUAAGUGACCUUGUAGGUAACAAGAACAGCCAAUAUCUGCAGGCACAGGUGUCAAGAAUAUAAGGUUUGGAUUACUCAGUGCUUUAUACAAACUUUUCUUUGUCUUCCCUCCACUUAGGCAUCAAUCUUAUUAUUUUC
Molecule: non-coding RNA, 2564 nt
Organism: Castor canadensis (American beaver)
Lineage: Eukaryota; Metazoa; Chordata; Mammalia; Rodentia; Castoridae
Source: RefSeq, a predicted model, not a curated record